UGGGGAAUUUUGGACAAUGGGGGAAACCCUGAUCCAGCCAUCCCGCGUGUGCGAUGAAGGCCUUCGGGUUGUAAAGCACUUUUGGCAGGAAAGAAACGUCAUGGGUUAAUACCCCGUGAAACUGACGGUACCUGCAGAAUAAGCACCGGCUAACUACGUGCCAGCAGCCGCGGUAAUACGUAGGGUGCAAGCGUUAAUCGGAAUUACUGGGCGUAAAGCGUGCGCAGGCGGUUCGGAAAGAAAGAUGUGAAAUCCCAGAGCUCAACUUUGGAACUGCAUUUUUAACUACCGGGCUAGAGUGUGUCAGAGGGAGGUGGAAUUCCGCGUGUAGCAGUGAAAUGCGUAGAUAUGCGGAGGAACACCGAUGGCGAAGGCAGCCACCUGGGAUAACACUGACGCUCAUGCACGAAAGCGUGGGGAGCAAACAGG
This 429-nucleotide ribosomal RNA is filed under the name Acidobacteriota bacterium. Its description in RNAcentral is "Acidobacteria bacterium partial 16S ribosomal RNA". It matches the Rfam family "Bacterial small subunit ribosomal RNA", at positions 355 to 776 of the family's 1533-position model. Lineage: Bacteria; Pseudomonadati; Acidobacteriota. The record is from RNAcentral.